Molecule: long non-coding RNA, 829 nt
Filed under: Marmota monax (woodchuck)
Lineage: Eukaryota; Metazoa; Chordata; Mammalia; Rodentia; Sciuridae
Source: RNAcentral
ACCCCCCCAAAAAAAAAAAGUGACAUAGGGAGGACAUUGCAGUAGGUGAUCACAUGGUGAAGCAACAUGUAGAAAUAUGAUGCUGGUCAACCAAGAGCAUUAUCACCAUCACCAGAAUUAUUCCAACCCCUUUCAUGGAGGGCUUGUUCUGUGCCAGGCCCAGUACCAAACACCUGAUGUGUAUCCUUCCAACAACCCCAAGAGGUAAGGAUAUCAUGGUUUGCUAAAGUGAAGCCAUCAUGGAGUUUUUACAGUCUAAUCCCCUUAAUUUUAGACAUAAAUUCACUGAAGCCCAAGGGAGUUUGCCUACUUCAUGAUUUUUCUGGGACAAACUUUGUCCCCUAGGAUACAUGAUUACUUAGAAAUUAUAUUUUUGCUAGGUAAAUUGGCCCAAGCCUAAAAUCCCAGCAACUAGGUAGGCUGAGGCAGGAGGAUGCAAGUUCAAAACCAGUCUGGGCAAUUUAGGGAGACUCUGUCUCAAAAACCAAACCAAACCAAACAAAAAGACCUGGGGAUAUAGCUCAGAGACAGAGUGAGUGCUCCUGGGUUCAAUCUCCAGUAACACACACAAACAAGAAAGACAGAAAUUGCAUCUUGCUUCUUUGAGGCCCAACAAAAAUACCAAUGGGAUCUCUUCAGGAUCCUUAUGAUCAGGGUCCACACCGCCCCCCAGACGAGUAUUUAUCUGACAUCUCACUAGUGAAGUAGAUGCCACCUCAGGCUUGGGCCUGGUCGACUAUAGAUAGCUAUAGGAUUAACAUCAGCAUAUUCCAGAAAAGUAAAGUCUGUAUUUUUCCUUAAAGAUUGUGAUCCAGGAAUUUGAAUAUAA